AAACAUUUUUACCUAAACACUUGGUGAUUUAAUUCUGCUCCGCUGUUCAAGCCAUUCUUUUGCAUAUAUCAACAGAGGGAAAAGGGUUUUUCUUAAUGUUAUUUGAUUUGAAUUUUUUUUUUUGAAUUAUAAAACACAAUUAUGACAUGAUUACUGUCAUGUCAAAAGGGUGAACUCAUUGUUAAGGUGGUUGAAUUUCCAUAGAGACAGCUCUACGAUACUCAAUAUGUGAUACUCUAUAAUUUUCGUUUGGUGCAGAACGUCUUCAGUUUUGCUUUUGGGCCUAGAGUUAAUUCAAUUAAAAUUAUAUCUUCUUCUGUUUUAGAAUGUUUCAUAAUAAUCACUUUGAUUUGUGUUUUGUCUAGAAUCUCUUCUUUCUUGCUUCUGGGGCCUUCUUAUUUGCUGAUCUCGCAUUGUUCUUUUACAUGGAACUCCAGGGACUAGAAAAACCGCUUUAUGUAAAGCAUUAGCUCAAAAACUAUCCAUCUGAUUUAACUCCAGAUACCUACAGUCCCAAUUGCUUCAAAUUAAUGCACAUUCUCUAUUCAACAAAUGAUACUCUGAAAAUGGCAAGCUGAUGAAGUUGAAAGUCUCGCUGCU
Long non-coding RNA from Rosa rugosa (rugosa rose), 600 nucleotides. RefSeq lists it as uncharacterized. The record is from RefSeq and is a predicted model, not a curated record. The transcript has 4 exons. NCBI's taxonomy places the organism in Eukaryota, Viridiplantae, Streptophyta, Magnoliopsida, Rosales, Rosaceae.